GAGAUACAGAAGCCUUUCACAGCCCAACUGAGCAUGCACGACUCAGGGACCUAUGAUGUCAGGUACUUAUCAUCAUCAAAGACCAACCUGGGACCACGGCUCCAGUGUUGGUUGUCUCAGGCCAAUGAAGAUUAAAGGUGUGGAUUUCCAUAAGAGUAAGUGAGAGACCUCGGCGGUAUGGGCACUCACCAUCCAAUACGAGGCCAUGUGCUAACCAGCCAGUCGAUAGGCUUCUGCUAGGCUCCUUCAGGAACUGUCCAAAACAGGUCUCUCUCGCCCUCAAUUUUAUUCAGUGGUGGCCAUAUUAAAAGGGGAGAGAAUCUCUUUUAUCAUAUAUGUACUUUUUAUGAGUCUCACUAAGUAGACCUGGCUGGCCCGGAGUUCUCUAUGUAUUCCAGGCUUGCCUUUAGCUUAAAGAGAUCCCCCUACCUCUGAUUUCUGGAGAACUCCAAUUAAAGCAGUGGACGCCUAGACCUGGCUUUGGUGAGACAUUGUCCUAUCAUGUCCGUGGAUGUCCAGCCUGUUGGAGAAUGAAGGACCAUGUGGAAACAGAUGGCUUUGUUAGCAGGCAACUACCAACCUCCAGAGAUGUGAGUAUGGGCCUCUUUAAAUGUUUAGCCCAGUUGUCUUACUCUAAAGACAACUAUGUUAGCUGACAGGGAAAACCUUGAAAAGGAAUCAAAGCAGGUAACCUGCCUUACAAAAUUAUGAGCCGCCGCUGAGCUCAGGCGCUAAGCACAGAAGGGUGCAGCCAACGAAGUAAGAGUUCGUUGGGAUCUGCUUGGAAAAACUAUCCUGCCUUGGCCCAUAGUUUCUCAACCCCCUUUUGUGAUACCUGCUACUAUGCUUUUCAUCUUCUUGGCUCAAGGGCAGUCAUCUGAAUCAAGCUUGUCCAAUGGAUGCCCUGUGGUUUAUGCAGAGGAAAGAGAUCAACUUAAGAAUAGUGAAAGGCAAAUUUGGGGGUGAAUUUAAAUGUUGACUAUUUCAGCUGGGCUUGGUGGCACUCCUGCAAUUCCACACUCAGGAGGCAGAGGCAGGUGGAUUGCUGUGACUUUCAGGCCAGCGUGGAGUACAAAGUGAGUCCAGGACAGCCAAGGCUACACAGAGAAACCCUGUCUUGAAAAACCAGAAAAGAAAAAAAAAGUUGACUAUUUCCUUAACCAAGAUGCUUGGGACUAGAAGUGUUUUAGUAUGUGGGAUUAUUUAAGAUUCUGAAAUGUUUAUAUAUAUAUAUAUA
Molecule: long non-coding RNA, 1237 nt
Organism: Meriones unguiculatus (Mongolian gerbil)
Lineage: Eukaryota; Metazoa; Chordata; Mammalia; Rodentia; Muridae
Exons: 4
Source: RefSeq, a predicted model, not a curated record